CAAAAAUUAUAUUUCAGUCCUUAAAUUUCAAUGAUCGGCGUAAACUGAGAGUGCCGGUACAAUCUGUGCAUUGUGUUUGGAUCGCGGGAAGCAUUUAGAGAGAAUUGUGCUCGAUGAACGCGCGAGGGAGGUAUUCGCCGGGGACUGGGAACGGUCGAGGCGGAGGAGGCGACGGUUACGGCGGGGGUGGCUUUCAAUCCAACCAUAAUUCCCGCGGCGGUUACCGUCAGGGUAGGAACCCUCAUUCUCAGCCUCAGCAGUAUGAUAAGCGGAGCUUGCAGAAUGAGCCGCACCAACAACAGCAGCAAUGGUUGCGGCGGAACGCUAGUGCAGCUCCGCCGGAGUCAAGUUACAAUGAGGUUCGGAAAAAUAUCCAGUCCGGCGGGAUUGAUUCAAGCUCUAAUGUUUGGAAGGCUCGCCUAAAUAUUCCACCGCCUGACACUCGGUAUAGGACUGAGGAUGUGACUGCAACCAAAGGAAAUGAGUUUGAAGAUUACUUUUUGAAGCGUGAGCUACUCAUGGGGAUUUAUGAGAAGGGAUUUGAAAGGCCUUCUCCCAUCCAGGAGGAGAGUAUACCUAUUGCACUUACUGGCAGUGAUAUUCUUGCUAGAGCUAAAAAUGGAACUGGCAAAACAGCUGCUUUCUGUAUUCCUGCACUGGAAAAAAUUGAUCCAGACAACAAUGUCAUUCAAGUUGUUAUACUUGUCCCAACAAGAGAGUUGGCACUUCAGACAUCUCAAGUUUGUAAGGAAUUAGGCAAGCACUUGAAGAUACAGGUAAUGGUCAGUACAGGAGGAACAAAUUUGAAAGAUGAUAUCAUGCGUUUGUAUCAACCUGUCCAUUUACUUGUUGGAACUCCUGGAAGAAUACUCGAUCUUGCCAAAAGGGGUGUCUGCAUUUUGAAGGACUGUGCAAUGAUUGCUAUGGAUGAGGCUGAUAAACUUUUGUCCCCUGAGUUUCAACCUUCCGUGGAGCAACUAAUUAUGUUCCUACCUCAACAUCGACAAAUUUUGAUGUUUUCAGCUACAUUUCCAGUGACUAUCAAGGAUUUCAAAGACAGAUAUCUGCAAAAGCCUUAUAUUAUUAAUCUAAUGGAUGAACUUACACUCAAAGGUAUAACACAAUUUUAUGCCUUUGUAGAAGAGCGGCAGAAGGUCCACUGCCUCAAUACCCUUUUCUCUAAGCUGCAAAUCAACCAAUCAAUUAUUUUUUGCAACUCUGUGAACCGAGUGGAACUGCUUGCAAAGAAAAUCACUGAGAUUGGCUAUUCCUGCUUCUAUAUCCAUGCAAAGAUGCUGCAAGAUCAUCGGAACAAAGUCUUUCAUGACUUCCGCAAUGGUUCCUGCAGGAAUCUUGUUUGUACUGAUUUAUUCACUAGAGGAAUAGACAUUCAAGCUGUCAAUGUUGUGAUUAAUUUUGACUUUCCUAAGAACUCAGAAACUUAUCUGCACAGGGUGGGCCGUUCAGGAAGAUUUGGGCAUCUUGGAUUGGCUGUAAAUUUGAUCACCUAUGAAGACCGUUUCAAUUUGUAUAAAAUUGAGCAAGAACUUGGGACUGAAAUUAAACCAAUUCCGCCCCAAAUAGAUCAAGCUAUUUACUGUCAGUAAUAAGCCAACUAAAGUAAAACCAACUAUGUGCAAUUUCUGCACUUAUUGAAGGCAAUGGCUACUUACUCCCUGGAUCAAGAUAUAUUGGAGGCUGCAGCUUAAUUUGUAGCAGGGAUAUGAUGCUAAUGUUGAUGCCUGGCCAUGUCCUCAGCCUUGAGGAUCUCUUCCUUUCGUUGCGCUUCAACUACUGCCCUCUUCUCAUCUGCCACCUUGUGAAUUUCAGCUACUUUGUUCUUCAUUUUUGCUCUAUGUUCAGCCUUCCUCUUCUCAAUAUUUUCCUGCUUGCAUUGUGUUAAAGGUACGUAAGCACAUAGAUGUUACACUAAGGAGAAGAAAAUCAAACACAAUAAUU
RNA transcript from Ipomoea triloba (trilobed morning glory), 1959 nucleotides. It is a transcript of the gene named DEAD-box ATP-dependent RNA helicase 8-like, with no coding region annotated. The transcript has 11 exons. Lineage: Eukaryota; Viridiplantae; Streptophyta; Magnoliopsida; Solanales; Convolvulaceae. The record is from RefSeq and is a predicted model, not a curated record.